Molecule: ribosomal RNA, 409 nt
Filed under: uncultured bacterium
Lineage: Bacteria
Description: bacterial SSU rRNA
Rfam family: Bacterial small subunit ribosomal RNA
Source: RNAcentral
GAUGAACGCUGGCGGCGUGCCUAACACAUGCAAGUCGAACGGAGUUCUUAAGGAAUGCGACUUCGGUCAAAUGACUUUUGAACUUAGCGGCGGACGGGUGAGUAACACGUGGGUAACCUGCCUCAUAGUGGGGAAUAGCCUUUCGAAAGGAAGAUUAAUACCGCAUAAGAUUGUAGCUUCGCAUGAAGUAGCAAUUAAAGGAUUUAUUCGCUAUGAGAUGGACCCGCGGCGCAUUAGCUAGUUGGUGAGGUAACGGCCCACCAAGGCGAUGAUGCGUAGCCGACCUGAGAGGGUGAUCGGCCACAUUGGGACUGAGACACGGCCCAGACUCCUACGGGAGGCAGCAGUGGGGAAUAUUGCACAAUGGGGGAAACCCUGAUGCAGCAACGCCGCGUGAGUGAUGACGGCC